GCGCAGAGUGGUAGAGGGCGCUGCGCCCUUCAGUGAAGCUGGAGAAGGAACAGAAGGAGACCCUUCUGUUCCUCCUCUGGCUUCGCUGGACAAGCGCGCCACUCAAGGGGCGCUGCGCCUUCUCCCUCUCCGCGC
Molecule: non-coding RNA, 135 nt
Organism: Podarcis lilfordi (Lilford's wall lizard)
Lineage: Eukaryota; Metazoa; Chordata; Lepidosauria; Squamata; Lacertidae
Source: the annotation of a GenBank genome assembly